CAAAACAAUAUGGCGGUGUAGCUCAGCUGGCUAGAGCGUACGGUUCAUACCCGUGAGGUCGGGGGUUCGAUCCCCUCCGCCGCUACCA
This 88-nucleotide transfer RNA is filed under the name Bacillus subtilis. RNAcentral's name for it is "tRNA-Met". The stretch from base 12 to 85 matches the Rfam family "tRNA". From Rfam's summary of the family: Transfer RNA (tRNA) molecules are approximately 80 nucleotides in length. Their secondary structure includes four short double-helical elements and three loops (D, anti-codon, and T loops). The record is from RNAcentral. Lineage: Bacteria; Bacillati; Bacillota; Bacilli; Caryophanales; Bacillaceae.